This 781-nucleotide long non-coding RNA is filed under the name Vulpes vulpes (red fox). RNAcentral's name for it is "lncRNA (ENSVVUG00000003583.1)". Lineage: Eukaryota; Metazoa; Chordata; Mammalia; Carnivora; Canidae. The record is from RNAcentral.
GGGCCCUCCAGAACCACUCCUGGGGCGAGAUUGGGAGGAACUGGCUGUGGGGGGUGAAAACCUUCUGAAUGAAGCUGGCAGCCUCUGAGCUUGGAUCUGGGCUUGCCUUGGGGACUGAGAAGCCCUGCACAGUGGAUCUGUGUUGCUCUAAAGAUCCUGUGAGGUUUCCCUGGCAGCAUGGUGCCUGUAAGACCUCAAUGCACAGCCCUGAUUUAAUUUAGGGAGACUUGAUUUGCUCGAAGCCUUUUCUAGACAGCUUGCUAAACUGGACAGGCGGAGGCAGGCCACAUCUGUGGGGGCUUCAGGUUCUUAGAAGGAGCCCUGAGGGCUGUGCCUGUGUUCUUCGUUGAGUGUGUUUCUCCCCAGGGUGUGGAGGGCAGUGGAGAUGGUCUGCUUUCCCUCAUCAGCUGAUGGAGCACCCCAGGUGUGCCUCCCGGCAGCAGGCAUCACCCCCACUACCCAGCCAGAGGACACAGCAGAUCGACUUGGAAAAAGCCUGGAAGGAUCAGGCCUCCCUGACACCCCUGGCGUGUCGCACGUGUCCUCCUUCCCAGUCCCAGGAUCGCCCUGUUUCAAAAUUGCGCUCUGCAUUGAGUUCUCCAUGUGGGUCCCUGUGCGGCGUCAAGUGCUACGGCUCACAAAAUAAAUAAGACAUCAAAGGAAAAUGGAACAUAAAAUGGAGGAGCAGCGAUGGAGGAAGAGGACGGGGAUUUUGAGCUAAUCAGAAAAUACAAUCAGGAAGAUUAUAUUUCGAUGUGUUUACUUUCCAAAGAGAAUAAAU